Molecule: long non-coding RNA, 307 nt
Filed under: Brassica napus (rape)
Lineage: Eukaryota; Viridiplantae; Streptophyta; Magnoliopsida; Brassicales; Brassicaceae
Description: long non-coding RNA (BNAP_LNC014076)
Source: RNAcentral
UUGGAAAAUACAAAAUAGUUAGAAAAAUGAAUGACGACGCCAACUUAAACGAACCCUAAAUCUUAAAUUAUAAAUAUUAAAUCCUAAAUUUAAACUCAAAAACCCUAUACACUAAACUAAAUCAUAGAUCCUAAAUUAAAACCCUAAACCAAACCUUAGACCCCAAAUCAUAAAUCCUAAUCCCUAGACCUUAAAUUUAAAUUUUAAUGUCGGUGUUAAUGUCAACGUCGUUCUUUUAGGAUGUAGAGUCUGUUUUAGGGCAUACAGUUUGGGUUUAGAAUUUAGAGGAUAGAGUUUGGAUUUAGGG